AACGAACGCUGGCGGCAUGCCUAGCACAUGCAAGUCGAACGAGACCUUCGGGCCUAGUGGCGCACGGGUGCGUAACGCGUGGGAACCUGCCCUUAGGUUCGGAAUAACUCCCCGAAAGGGGUGCUAAUACCGGAUAAUGUCUUCGGACCAAAGAUUUAUCGCCUUUGGAUGGGCCGGCGUUGGAUUAGCUAGUUGGUAGGGUAAAAGCCUACCAAGGCGACGUUCCAUAGCUGGUCUGAGAGGAUGAUCAGCCACACUGGGACUGAGACACGGCCCAGACUCCUACGGGAGGCAGCAGUGGGGGAUAUUGGACAAUGGGCGGAGGCCUGAUCCAGCUAUGCCGCGUGAGUGAUGAAGGCCUUAGGGUUGUAAAGCUCUUUUACCCGGGAUGAUAAUGACAGUACCGGGAGAAUAAGCACCGGCUAACUCCGUG
Molecule: ribosomal RNA, 433 nt
Filed under: uncultured bacterium
Lineage: Bacteria
Description: partial 16S ribosomal RNA
Rfam family: Bacterial small subunit ribosomal RNA
Source: RNAcentral